This 73-nucleotide transfer RNA is filed under the name Dipodomys ordii (Ord's kangaroo rat). It matches the Rfam family "tRNA". Rfam says of the family: Transfer RNA (tRNA) molecules are approximately 80 nucleotides in length. Their secondary structure includes four short double-helical elements and three loops (D, anti-codon, and T loops). The record is from Rfam by way of RNAcentral. Lineage: Eukaryota; Metazoa; Chordata; Mammalia; Rodentia; Heteromyidae.
GGAAGAAUGGCUCAAGUGGUAGAGCAGUUGCCAAGAAAACAAAAGACCCUGAGUUCAAACCCCAGUACUACCA